AUCAUAGUCCGUCCGUCCGGAAAUACUUGUCAUAGGAAAGUAUGUAUCUAGAUGUAUUAUAAUUUUAGACACAUCCAUUUUUAUACAUUAGUGUGACAAGUAAUUCUGGACGAAGGGAGUACUAU
Molecule: non-coding RNA, 125 nt
Organism: Hordeum vulgare subsp. vulgare (domesticated barley)
Lineage: Eukaryota; Viridiplantae; Streptophyta; Magnoliopsida; Poales; Poaceae
Source: Rfam